AUGCGUUGUUGGGUAGGGGAGCGUUCUGUAAGCCUGUGAAGGUGUGCUGUGAGGCAUGCUGGAGGUAUCAGAAGUGCGAAUGCUGACAUAAGUAACGAUAAAGCGGGUGAAAAGCCCGCUCGCCGGAAGACCAAGGGUUCCUGUCCAACGUUAAUCGGGGCAGGGUGAGUCGACCCCUAAGGCGAGGCCGAAAGGCGUAGUCGAUGGGAAACAGGUUAAUAUUCCUGUACUUGGUGUUACUGCGAAGGGGGGACGGAGAAGGCUAUGUUGGCCGGGCGACGGUUGUCCCGGUUUAAGCGUGUAGGCUGGUUUUCCAGGCAAAUCCGGAAAAUCAAGGCUGAGGCGUGAUGACGAGGCACUACGGUGCUGAAGCAACAAAUGCCCUGCUUCCAGGAAAAGCCUCUAAGCAUCAGGUAACAUCAAAUCGUACCCCAAACCGACACAGGUGGUCAGGUAGAGAAUACCAAGGCGCUUGAGAGAACUCGGGUGAAGGAACUAGGCAAAAUGGUGCCGUAACUUCGGGAGAAGGCACGCUGAUAUGUAGGUGAAGUCCCUCGCGGAUGGAGCUGAAAUCAGUCGAAGAUACCAGCUGGCUGCAACUGUUUAUUAAAAACACAGCACUGUGCAAACACGAAAGUGGACGUAUACGGUGUGACGCCUGCCCGGUGCCGGAAGGUUAAUUGAUGGGGUCAGCGCAAGCGAAGCUCUUGAUCGAAGCCCCGGUAAACGGCGGCCGUAACUAUAACGGUCCUAAGGUAGCGAAAUUCCUUGUCGGGUAAGUUCCGACCUGCACGAAUGGCGUAAUGAUGGCCAGGCUGUCUCCACCCGAGACUCAGUGAAAUUGAACUCGCUGUGAAGAUGCAGUGUACCCGCGGCAAGACGGAAAGACCCCGUGAACCUUUACUAUAGCUUGACACUGAACAUUGAGCCUUGAUGUGUAGGAUAGGUGGGAGGCUUAGAAGUGUGGACGCCAGUCUGCAUGGAGCCGACCUUGAAAUACCACCCUUUAAUGUUUGAUGUUCUAACGUUGACCCGUAAUCCGGGUUGCGGACAGUGUCUGGUGGGUAGUUUGACUGGGGCGGUCUCCUCCUAAAGAGUAACGGAGGAGCACGAAGGUUGGCUAAUCCUGGUCGGACAUCAGGAGGUUAGUGCAAUGGCAUAAGCCAGCUUGACUGCGAGCGUGACGGCGCGAGCAGGUGCGAAAGCAGGUCAUAGUGAUCCGGUGGUUCUGAAUGGAAGGGCCAUCGCUCAACGGAUAAAAGGUACUCCGGGGAUAACAGGCUGAUACCGCCCAAGAGUUCAUAUCGACGGCGGUGUUUGGCACCUCGAUGUCGGCUCAUCACAUCCUGGGGCUGAAGUAGGUCCCAAGGGUAUGGCUGUUCGCCAUUUAAAGUGGUACGCGAGCUGGGUUUAGAACGUCGUGAGACAGUUCGGUCCCUAUCUGCCGUGGGCGCUGGAGAACUGAGGGGGGCUGCUCCUAGUACGAGAGGACCGGAGUGGACGCAUCACUGGUGUUCGGGUUGUCAUGCCAAUGGCACUGCCCGGUAGCUAAAUGCGGAAGAGAUAAGUGCUGAAAGCAUCUAAGCACGAAACUUGCCCCGAGAUGAGU
Molecule: ribosomal RNA, 1609 nt
Filed under: Escherichia coli
Lineage: Bacteria; Pseudomonadati; Pseudomonadota; Gammaproteobacteria; Enterobacterales; Enterobacteriaceae
Description: bacterial LSU rRNA
Rfam family: Bacterial large subunit ribosomal RNA
Source: RNAcentral